AGAGUUUGAUCCUGGCUCAGAACGUACGCUGGCGGCACGCCUAACACAUGCAAGUCGAACGAAGUAGCAAUACUUAGUGGCAGACGGGUGAGUAACAUGUGGGUAUCUGCCCUUUGGCCUGGAAUAACACGAGGAAACUUGUGCUAAUACCGGAUAAGUCUUUACGGAGAAAGCUUUAUGCACCAUUGGAUGAGCCCGCACUUGAUUAGUUUGUUGGUGGGGUAAUGGCCUACCAAGACUGUGAUCAAUAGCUGAUUUGAGAGGAUGAUCAGCCACAUUGGGACUGAGACACGGCCCAAACUCCUACGGGAGGCAGCAGUGGGGAAUCUUGCACAAUGGAGGAAACUCUGAUGCAGCGAUGCCGCGUGAGUGAAGAAGGCCCUUGGGUUGUAAAGCUCUUUCGUCGGGGAAGAAAAUGACUGUACCCGAAUAAGAAGGUCCGGCUAACUUCGUGCCAGCAGCCGCGGUAAU
RNAcentral lists this ribosomal RNA (471 nucleotides) under uncultured bacterium. RNAcentral's name for it is "bacterial SSU rRNA". It matches the Rfam family "Bacterial small subunit ribosomal RNA", at positions 8 to 524 of the family's 1533-position model. The record is from RNAcentral.